CCGAGUGGUGUGGAUGUUUAUUGGGCCUAAAGCAUCCGUAGCUGGCUAAGUUAGUCCCUUGUUAAAUCCACCGAAUUAAUCGUUGGAUUGCGGGGGAUACUGCUUGGCUAGGGGACGAGAGAGGCAGACGGUAUUUUCGGGGUAGGGGUGAAAUCCUAUAAUCCCGGGAAGACCACCAGUGGCGAAGGCUGUCUGCUAGAACGCGCCCGACGGUGAGGGAUGAAAGCUGGGGGAGCGAACCGGAUUAGAUACCCGGGUAGUCCCAGCUGUAAACGAUGCAGGCUAGGUGUUUGGACGGCCACGUGCCGUUCUAGUGCCGCAGGGAAGCUGUUAAGCCUGCCGCCUGGGGAGUACGAUCGCAAGAUUGAAACUUAAAGGAAUUGGCGGGGGAGCACGGGGCGGGGGCGGCGGGCCGGGCGCGGGGCGCGGCGGGC
Molecule: ribosomal RNA, 434 nt
Filed under: uncultured archaeon
Lineage: Archaea
Description: bacterial SSU rRNA
Rfam family: Archaeal small subunit ribosomal RNA
Source: RNAcentral